Molecule: ribosomal RNA, 271 nt
Filed under: uncultured bacterium
Lineage: Bacteria
Description: partial 16S ribosomal RNA
Rfam family: Bacterial small subunit ribosomal RNA
Source: RNAcentral
AACGAACGCUGGCGGCAGGCCUAACACAUGCAAGUCGAACGCCGUAGCAAUACGGAGUGGCAGACGGGUGAGUAACGCGUGGGAACAUACCCCUCGGUUCGGAAUAACUUAGGGAAACUUGAGCUAAUACCGGAUACGUCCGAGGUUUUAACCGGCCUCGGAGAAAGAUUUAUCGCCGGAGGAUUGGCCCGCGUCUGAUUAGCUUGUUGGUGAGGUAAUGGCUCACCAAGGCGACGAUCAGAGCUGGUCUGAGAGGAUGAUCAGCCACAUU